GCACAGCUGGGUAGUCACGUUUGGAACAGAUAACCGCUGAAAGCAUCUAAGCGGGAAACUGACUUCAAGAUAAGUAUUCUUUAAGACUCCUUCGAGCCUAGGAGGUUGAUAGGUUGGGGGUGUAAGGGCUGCGAGGCCUUUAGCUGACCAAUACUAAUAAGUCGAAGUUUUAACCUU
RNAcentral lists this ribosomal RNA (177 nucleotides) under Candidatus Fusobacterium pullicola. Its description in RNAcentral is "partial 23S ribosomal RNA". It matches the Rfam family "Bacterial large subunit ribosomal RNA", at positions 2735 to 2925 of the family's 2925-position model. Lineage: Bacteria; Fusobacteriati; Fusobacteriota; Fusobacteriia; Fusobacteriales; Fusobacteriaceae. The record is from RNAcentral.